This 788-nucleotide ribosomal RNA is filed under the name Salmonella enterica. RNAcentral describes it as "partial 23S ribosomal RNA". It matches the Rfam family "Bacterial large subunit ribosomal RNA", at positions 403 to 1190 of the family's 2925-position model. The record is from RNAcentral. Lineage: Bacteria; Pseudomonadati; Pseudomonadota; Gammaproteobacteria; Enterobacterales; Enterobacteriaceae.
GCUCGAUGAGUAGGGCGGGACACGUGGUAUCCUGUCUGAAUAUGGGGGGACCAUCCUCCAAGGCUAAAUACUCCUGACUGACCGAUAGUGAACCAGUACCGUGAGGGAAAGGCGAAAAGAACCCCGGCGAGGGGAGUGAAAAAGAACCUGAAACCGUGUACGUACAAGCAGUGGGAGCACAGGUUUACCUGUGUGACUGCGUACCUUUUGUAUAAUGGGUCAGCGACUUAUAUUCUGUAGCAAGGUUAACCGUAUAGGGGAGCCGGAGGGAAACCGAGUCUUAAUUGGGCGUUAAGUUGCAGGGUAUAGACCCGAAACCCGGUGAUCUAGCCAUGGGCAGGUUGAAGGUUGGGUAACACUAACUGGAGGACCGAACCGACUAAUGUUGAAAAAUUAGCGGAUGACCUGUGGCUGGGGGUGAAAGGCCAAUCAAACCGGGAGAUAGCUGGUUCUCCCCGAAAGCUAUUUAGGUAGCGCCUCGUGAAUUCAUCUCCGGGGGUAGAGCACUGUUUCGGCUAGGGGGCCAUCCCGGCUUACCAACCCGAUGCAAACUGCGAAUACCGGAGAAUGUUAUCACGGGAGACACACGGCGGGUGCUAACGUCCGUCGUGAAGAGGGAAACAACCCAGACCGCCAGCUAAGGUCCCAAAGUCAUGGUUAAGUGGGAAACGAUGUGGGAAGGCCCAGACAGCCAGGAUGUUGGCUUAGAAGCAGCCAUCAUUUAAAGAAAGCGUAAUAGCUCACUGGUCGAGUCGGCCUGCGCGGAAGAUGUAACGGGGCUAAACCAU